RNAcentral lists this ribosomal RNA (245 nucleotides) under uncultured bacterium. RNAcentral's name for it is "partial 16S ribosomal RNA". It matches the Rfam family "Bacterial small subunit ribosomal RNA", at positions 79 to 339 of the family's 1533-position model. The record is from RNAcentral.
UAUUACCUGCUGACGAGCGGCGGACGGCUGAGUAACGCGUGGGAACGUACCCCAAAGUGAGGAAUAACUGCCCGAAAGGGUGGCUAAUGCCGCAUAUGGUCUUCGGAUUAAAGGAUUUAUCCGCUUUGGGAACGGCCUGCGUAUGAUUAGAUAGUUGGUGAGGUAAUGGCUCACCAAGUCUACGAUCAUUAACUGGUCUGAGAGGAUGAUCAGUCAGACUGGAACUGAGACACGGUCCAGACUCC